ACCACUGUCGUGUGUUUUCUUUAACUUGUGGACACAGACUUACAGAUAAGUGCAGAAAAUAAAUCCGCCUUUGCAACCCAAUACUUAUUGUUCAGUAUAAGUUUGGAUACGUGUAAGAAGGAAUAUU
Molecule: small nucleolar RNA, 127 nt
Organism: Sciurus vulgaris (Eurasian red squirrel)
Lineage: Eukaryota; Metazoa; Chordata; Mammalia; Rodentia; Sciuridae
Source: Ensembl